RNAcentral lists this unclassified non-coding RNA (245 nucleotides) under uncultured fungus. Its description in RNAcentral is "partial contains small subunit ribosomal RNA, internal transcribed spacer 1, and 5.8S ribosomal RNA". The record is from RNAcentral. Lineage: Eukaryota; Fungi. RNAcentral also lists the same sequence under 1 other name.
UCUCCGUUGGUGAACCAGCGGAGGGAUCAUUACAGAGUUACACAACUCACCAAACCAUUGUGAACCGACCCUUCUGUUGCUUCGGCGGGAGGCGCCUCGGCGCCCCUCGGCCGAUCCCCCCGGCCCCCGCGGCGUGGGGGGAGGCUCCCGCCGGAGGAAUACCCCAAACCCUUUGCAGCACAUGGCCUCUCUGAGUUUAUGUACUGAAUAAGUCAAAACUUUCAACAACGGAUCUCUUGGUUCUG